GACGAACGCUGGCGGCGUGCCUAAUACAUGCAAGUAGAACGCUGAAGAGAGGAGCUUGCUCUUCUUGGAUGAGUUGCGAACGGGUGAGUAACGCGUAGGUAACCUGCCUGGUAGCGGGGGAUAACUAUUGGAAACGAUAGCUAAUACCGCAUGAAAUUGCUUAUCGCAUGAUAAUUAAUUGAAAGAUGCAAUUGCAUCACUACCAGAUGGACCUGCGUUGUAUUAGCUAGUUGGUGAGGUAACGGCUCACCAAGGCGACGAUACAUAGCCGACCUGAGAGGGUGAUCGGCCACACUGGGACUGAGACACGGCCCAGACUCCUACGGGAGGCAGCAGUAGGGAAUCUUCGGCAAUGGGGGGAACCCUGACCGAGCAACGCCGCGUGAGUGAAGAAGGUUUUCGGAUCGUAAAGCUCUGUUGUAAGAGAAGAACGGGUGUGAGAGUGGAAAGUUCACACUG
Molecule: ribosomal RNA, 459 nt
Filed under: Streptococcus sanguinis
Lineage: Bacteria; Bacillati; Bacillota; Bacilli; Lactobacillales; Streptococcaceae
Description: bacterial SSU rRNA
Rfam family: Bacterial small subunit ribosomal RNA
Source: RNAcentral